Long non-coding RNA from Ctenopharyngodon idella (grass carp), 4164 nucleotides. RefSeq lists it as uncharacterized. NCBI's taxonomy places the organism in Eukaryota, Metazoa, Chordata, Actinopteri, Cypriniformes, Xenocyprididae. The record is from RefSeq and is a predicted model, not a curated record. The transcript has 5 exons.
UGGCUGGUCUUAGCUGGUUUCCCAGGCUGGCCAAGCUUGUGUUCAGCUGGUUUUUUGGCUGGUCUCCCAGCUUGACCAGCUAAGACUAGCCUGGCCAGCUAAAACAAGUGAGCCAUUUUGAUACAGACUUUAAUAAUCAUUAGACUAUUAGACCAUCGGUUCUUUGUUCCUAUAAUAAUAACCAAUAAAGCUUUAAUCUCAAAACUGUAUGAAUCUGCAAACACUGGCACAACACAAAAUCAAUGUUUUAACUGUGAACAGAAAAUGAUAAAAAAAAAAACUAAAUAAAAAAUGUUUACACUUGAACAAACCGCCCAAAGGGGGUGUUUUAGAAGAUCUUUUAUCCCAUAUUGUGUUUGAGUGUCGUCAGAUCAACACAUCGGCCAUUUUAAUGUCUCUUACCCCAGUUCAGUUGAGAGCUGGUUUGAAUCAAUUAGGCCUACAUGUAGAUUUGCUUAUCUCCGUUUAUCUACUGCUUUAGAUGCUGACAAAAUCCCAUAUUUGUUUUAAAAUAUAUAAAAUACACAUUUGUGUCCUCCCCCCAUUGACUGACACUUUGAAUUUGGCGUUUCUUGUAUUAAUGCUGCUGAUAAACUUGUUGUCCACAAGAGGGAGCCGGUCACCAUCUGUCUCACAUUAAACGUAUAAAUUCUGAGCUUUGUUAUGAGUAUGAAAAUGUUAAAGUAAACUAGACGUCUAAGAACUCAGUCAGUUACCCAGCUUGAAGACAUUUUCAGUCUGAUGGUGGUGAAACACGACUCGUCUGGUAGAAACUGUGCAGUUUAUCAUCCGCUCCUCUAGGGGCGCAAGCGGCUUCACGUUCAUAACAUCUUCGGAUCCUUGUCAACAACACCUGAUGUCAACUUGACAGUCGCCGCACCACGUUCUGAUCGUUUUACAGUCAUAAAAGUGCAGAUCCUGCAGAUGACAGCUCAGUGACAGACUCAUAAAGUCACUCAACGGCACAUAUUCCAGCCCAUCAGAAAAAUCAACUGACACACAUUGUGAUAAUGAGGGGGCAUCGACAGUGUCACGAGACUCACCUAAUAAGGCAUGUGUUGGGACUGAUAUACUCAGACAAAAGAAGCAUGUGGACAGACAUUCACAAUAAUGAUUGACAUCUGCUCACGCACAGAUUUGUGACCACAUGAGGGUGAGCAAAUGAUGACAGAAUUUUCAUUUUCAUUUUCACUAUCCCUUUCGGUCAUUGAUGUACCCAAGUUUUAUUUACUAGUUUUAGAAACUCAUACACCUAUUAGGAUGUUUCUAUGAACCGAACUGAUGCAGUUAAUAGAAUCAUCCUGUGAUCAAAUUUACUUGAAUUACUUUUCUUUUUCUUUUCUUUUUUUGUAGUAUGUGCACUGCUGAUGAUUGUAUUUAUGUCAACUGAUAUUUAUUAAGUUUUAGACACUUUUAAAUUCUGAUUUAAUUUUUUUUUUUAAUUAUUAUUAUUAUUAUUAUUUUUUUUUUUCAAAAUGUCUGCAAUUUCUUUUUCCUUAAAGUAUACAAACGAACAUAUCUUUGUGUGAAAAGCUGUUGGUCCAGUGGUCAGAGCUCAUGGUGUGAGAGCUAAACCUGAUGUGGGAGACCAGGGUUCAAAUCCCCAGUCUGCUGCAGCUCUAAAUGAGUGUGAAGGUUUUUUAGAAAAAGUUGUUUUUUUAUUUAUUUAUUUAUUUAUUUUUAAAAAACCUCCUCCUCCUUUCUCAGUCCAGCCUUCAUCUCUCCACUCUGUUUUACUGCCCCAAGUAUCCAUCUUUGUCAUCACACCCUUUGUUUGGUGUACCAUCCCAGGCACUUUGCUGUCACCACAGCUUUCUUUUUGUGAGGGCAAUCCCCACAUACUGAAGUGGGAUUUGAACCCAUGCAACUAUCGCUGCCUUGUCCGCAUCCAGUGUGUGUUUAAACACUAGUGCCAUCAUGGCUUUCACACUGAGAGAUGAUGUUUGGGGCAGUUUGUUGGAUUUAAUGACAACAAGUUAACCUAAGCAAUAGUGGGACUCGAACCCAGGACUCCAAGAUUAAAACACCACGUUUUAGCUCCUGAACCACUGAGUGGCAAUGGGUGUUUUAGAUGGACUUUUAUGGAGAUCUUUGUGUUAUAUAAAAGAAAAAGCUUUGCAGUUGUUGUGUUUGAACCCAUAUCCUCAUGGUAGCAUUAUCUGUUGUUAACAUGUGCUUAACCACUGGCCCAUUGUGGCUUUCACAUUCAGUGAAGGUGUUUGAAGCCUCUUGUUGGUUGCAUACAAUUUAACAUAUGUAAAAGGGGAUUUGAACUUGUUAAAUAAAAACAAUUGAAAGUAAGCAAUAGUGGAAUUUGAACUCAGGAUGCCAUGAUUGAAACACAAUGCUUUAUCUCCUGAACCACUGAGACUGCAGAGAUUAGGAGUGUUUUCAACGGGUUUUAUCGAGAACUAAAACUUUGUUCCUUUUUUUUAUUAUUUUUUAAUGAUAAAUGGUUGUAUCUUAUCACCAUUGUGAAUAAAUACUCAAUUACUAUCCUUGAUUUUCAUGUGAAACUUUUAAUUUUAUUAAAGUUAUUAAUUUUAUAUUCAAGCUUGUUAUUGCACUAUUUUGUGGUGGUUUUGUGAAUUACACCACUGCAAAUUGAGCCUAAGGAGCUUAAAUGCACUACACUUCUGUAAGAGGGUGAGGGCAGAAAAACAUGUUUUACAUUGCAACAUGAACAGACAGAAAGAGCUAUUUACACUAUCUUUUUUCUGUCAAAAUAUAUUUGCAAAUAAAUCAGCUGGUGUGUGUUGAGCGCACUGACGCCAUUGUACUGUGGCUGCCGUCGCAUCAUCCAAGUGGAUGCUGCACACUGGUGGUGGAUGAGGAGAGACCCCUGAUAUGAUUGUGGGUGUACCGUAGUACAUAUGAAAGAGCUAUAUAAAUGUCUCAUUCAUUCAUGGGUUGCACACUCCUGCAAUGAUUUUUGUGAAUUUCACCAAAAAAAUCAAAUCUAAUGAACUUAAAAAUUUUGCUCCCUCCUGUGGUUGUUUUUGCAAAUUACACCAACACAAAUCGAGUCUAAUGAACUUAAAUGUACUAUACUUUUGCAAGAGGGUGAGAGCAGAAGAGUGUUCUCAUAACGCUACGCAACAUGAACAGCCAAUCAGAUCUGUUUAUACUACCGAUGUUCUGUGCUCACUUCUGUUAAAUUGAUUUGCAAAAAGUUACACCGCUGCAUUUUGAGUUUAAUGAACAUAAAAGAGUUUCGCCCUCCUGUGGUGGUUUUUGUGAAUUACAGCACUGCAAAUCGAGUCUAAUGAACUUUCAAUAGGGUUUUUCAUCUGUCCACUCUGUUCUUUUGUUAAAAUAUAUUUAUAUACACGAAAGACCAGAUUUCCUCGUUCACAGAGCUUGUAUCCAGUGUAUAUGUAUGAAGUAACUUAGGCUCAGGCUUUGUAAAAGAUGGUCACUGCAUCUGUGGGAUGUUUCUGUUGCUGCUUCAUGAUUAAAAGUCUCAAAUGUGAUCUCGCCACUAUAACAAUUAGAAUGGUAGAAGGUAAAGUGCAGUUUUCCAUCCGCUCCACUAGGUGGCAGAAGCAGGUUUCAGCUUCAGUCUGACACUUCGGCUGCUUGACAACAUGACGCUUGAUGUUCCUGCAGAUGAGAUGACAGCUCUUAAUGUCACUUUAACAGCAAAUAUUCCAGCUUAACUGCAAAUAAAACCGACAUACAGACGGAAAAAAUGCGGGAACCAAGUGUCACGAGACUCGCCUAUUGUUUCGUCAGCAGUGGGCGGGACUUACAAGCAGUAAUCCAAUUGGCUGAAAAUGUGAUUAAUAUCUGACAGCCUGUUACCAAUUUGCAAUCCACCUGAGGACCAGCGUGAGCACAAGGAGAAGUCUUCUUUGAAUAUUAGGAUCUCUGGGUCAGAACUGCUGGAGGUCAUGAGGAGGUGGCAGGAGAAGCAGUCUCUUGAACUGCUGAACCCUUAUUCCACUGACCUUUUUUCUGGAGUCAUUGGAGCGCACUCCGUUUGCUGCCAUAAUGUGCCUUCGACAAGAACUCUUGGACGUGUCUGAUAACGGUACCAGCUCAUACCCUUUCUCUGGGAUAAAGGUUAUGACAGGCCAUUUCUGUUUGAAUGCAUGUUUGAAAAUGGAGUUAAUUACAAACUGGAGUGAUCAGUUUGUGUGCACAAUAAAAGGCUACAUGUGA